This 456-nucleotide ribosomal RNA is filed under the name uncultured bacterium. RNAcentral describes it as "bacterial SSU rRNA". It matches the Rfam family "Bacterial small subunit ribosomal RNA", at positions 211 to 663 of the family's 1533-position model. The record is from RNAcentral.
CAAUUCGCCUCGGGAGGGGCCUGCGGCCUAUCAGCUAGUUGGUGAGGUAAUGGCUCACCAAGGCGACGACGGGUAGGGGACCUGAGAGGGUGACCCCCCACACUGGAACUGAAACACGGACCAGACACCUACGGGUGGCUGCAGUCGAGAAUCUUCGGCAUGGACGAAAGUCUGACCGAGCGACGCCGCGUGUGGGAUGAAGGCUUUCGGGUUGUAAACCACUGUCAGAGGGGAGGAAAUCCUUGAGGGCUAUCCCUCUUGGUUGACCUAUCCUCAGAGGAAGUACGGGCUAAGUACGUGCCAGCAGCCGCGGUAAUACGUACCGUACAAACGUUAUUCGGAAUCACUGGGCUUAAAGGGUGCGUAGGCGGUGCGGUCAGUUGGGUGUGAAAUCCCUCGGCUCAACCGAGGAACUGCGCCCAAUACUGCCGUACUCGAGGGAGACAGAGGUAAGCG